Long non-coding RNA from Mesocricetus auratus (golden hamster), 2865 nucleotides. RefSeq lists it as uncharacterized. The record is from RefSeq and is a predicted model, not a curated record. Lineage: Eukaryota; Metazoa; Chordata; Mammalia; Rodentia; Cricetidae. The transcript is spliced from 3 exons.
CUCUUAAUCUCUGAGCCAUCCCCUACUUCUCACUGUUUUAACAAAAACACAAAAGCUAAGGUUCCAUGGGAAGAUGUUUGAGUGCUGAGUAAGAAAGGAGAAAGGAGUGGCGGUGACAGUGGCGGUGGCAUCGCUGAGAACCUGGAAUUAUAGCCAGCUUUGAGAUUUACAAACAAAAUUGACGUACCCUACGAUCCGAACAAACCCUCCAGUGAUUAAAGUCAGUCUAAAGCAGUUCCAACAGUCCUGAAGCAGAGCCCUGCACAAGUAAACACACGGUUUCUAGGGAAAGGCACCUUCAUGGGUCACCGCUCGCUCCAGACGUCUUAAGAUUCCUCUGGAUUCAAGCCGUGAGUCUCCCCGAGGUCUUGGUUCUGCGAUGCUGCUGGAUUCAAGCGAUGAGUCUCCCGAGGUCUCGGGUCUGGAUGUCGAACGUGGCUCUCAGCGUAGUGGACUGACUUUUCAGAGGGAGGAGAGUUCCGGGACGUGUUUUUCAUGCAGGCGGGGUGUGCUCUACUUUCUUAGUCCUGAGCUGGUCCCUAAAUCUAAAUACCUUGCUCAUCACACCUAUUUUUAGGUACCUAAUUAGUACAGCUAGCAGGAAAAAAAAAAAGAAAUUUACAAAGGAUUUCAACAAUAGUGUUGAUAUACAUAGCUUUGCUUUGGGACUGUAGAACAGACAUUCCUUUCAAGACCUUAAGAACAUCUAUAAAGGUUGACAUAUACUGGUUUAUAGAGCAAGUACCAAAAAUUUCUAAAAGAUUAAUGUAGUAUACAGUGUGCUUUCUGGCCACAAUAUGACUGACACAUAUUGGGGACAGUGACAGAACGGCGUUUAAAGAGGCAGUGAUAAGGGUCUGACUGUAAGGUGAAGGCUGGGGUACAAUGUGGGCAUCACAUCACUUCUUCCUACCGCAGCUUGUGGGUUGUCCUCUAGUGAACUUUAACGGUGGACACAGCCUAGAGUUGUGAGAGGGAGGCCUCAGUUGAGGGGUUGGGGGUGUCUGUGGCAAACUGUCCCUGUUGUUAGUUGAGUAGGAGGUUUACCAUUCCCUAGGCAGGUGGUCUUAGGCUUCAUAAGAAAGCCUGUGGGUGAGCUAGGAGCAGUGAUCCUUUAUGGUUUCUGCUUCAAGUUUUUGAUUGAGUGCCUGCCUUGAGUUCCCUCAGUGAUGGGCUGUCACCUGGAGUGUAAGGCAAAUAGGUCCUUUUGUCCCCUAAGGUACUUUAUUCCAAGUGUUCUCUGUUUGUUUUGUCACAGCAACAGAAAGGAAACUAAAACACAAAUAACUCAACUCUUUCUCAUAUUUACACAGUGGACAUCCUGUCCAUGAUGUAUCUCUGAAAAAUAAUUUGUGCAUGUAAGAUCUGAAAAUAAUACUAAUAUGGCCUGCUACUAAGUCAUCGAGGAAGCAGGUAAUUCAGGCACCAUUUCAGUUUAGAGUUCAUUUAUGUUCUAACACUUAACAUUUUCUUAGAGUAAAUCUUUAAGAUAUGUUAAUAAAAUCCUACCCAAGAUUUAGUUUGAAGAACCCUCAGUCAAGUCCUUACAUAGACCAUUAAAAAAGAGGGAGAUUGUAGAAUCUGGAUCCAGUGAAAUAUUCCAGACCACCUUCCUUAUUUCAAGUAGGCAAAACUUCACAUCAGCUCUUUAAUCAAAUAAAGCCCUCAUUUCCUCUGGCAUCCCACGAAGCCUGAAUUUCCUGCUUCCCCUGUGGAUAGCAUGUAAAGUUAUGAAGGCUACCUUUGGAGAAUUACUUUCCCUCACACUUAAGUUUAAUUGUUUCUUAGAAAUACAAGGUAAUGAGCUACCCUGUUCUUGGUGCCAUGAAUUCCCUGAACAUCUGCUUUGUUGUACUGAAGGUGACUAAUGUGUUUGAGUCUAUAACCAACGCUACCAGAUAGGACUCCGAAAGCAUCCCAGUCCUACAUGCCAGGGUCUCAACAUUGGUGGGCAUGGGUAAAUAAAUCCCCACUCAGUUACAUAAGAGGCUGGGAUCAUACUUCUUCUCAAGAUACAUUCUUAAGAAAGGGAGCUGUUGGAACGUAUCUUUAUAUAAAUAAUAAACGUGUGACUUACAAGGAAGCCUUUGGUGUUUUGUAGACUGAGUUGGAAACCUGAACAUCUAGGGUCAUCCAGGAGAUCUAGCUAGCACCACAGAGAACAGAUUUGAAUUCCAAUGGAAGAAUCAUCAAGAAGACUAGCCAGCUUCUGCUUUGACAUGAUCCCAACUGUGCUCUGAUUCUCCCCUCUUGGAUUAUAAAAGUAUAUAACUUCUUUGUGUUUCAAAGGGGCUACAGUUAAGAGACUUCCGGUUUUUAAAGAGACAUUGGACUUUUUAAAUUCUUCUAACAUUUUAAAGGCGGCAGGACUGUAUUUUAUAAAUUUUAAAGUUGGACUGUAUUUUAUAAAUUAUGAUAAUAAAAUGAGAUCUGGGGGGCAAACAAGAAAGGCCAGGUUGUGUUUUAAAGUGAUGAGUCUCUCAGAGCUCAGGGAACCCCCUGAAGAGGAGGUGGAAAGAGUGUAGGAGUCAGAGGCGAUGGAGGGCACGGAGAACAAGGCCUCUAGUCAGCUGAGGAAAGCUCAUGAGCUCACAGAGACUGGAGCAGAUCUGUAUCUGUUUCCUGGGCUCCUUUCCUUCUGUUUGUUUUGUCCUAUUCUACAAAUAACGCCAUUUAAAAACGCAGAACUCUCAAAAGUGACACUCAAAUGGCUGAGAAGCGCUUAAAGAAAUGUUCAAUAUCUUUAGCCAUCAGGGAAAUGCAAAUCAAAACUACUUUGAGACUCCAUUUUACACCUGUCGGAAUGGCCAAGAUCGAUAAAACAAAUGGCAGCUGGAUUUUAUCAAAGGCCUUUUCUGCAUUUAA